This 67-nucleotide transfer RNA is filed under the name Sirex nitobei. RNAcentral's name for it is "tRNA-Tyr". Lineage: Eukaryota; Metazoa; Arthropoda; Insecta; Hymenoptera; Siricidae. The record is from RNAcentral.
AAUGAUAUGUCUGAUUAAAGUAAUAAAUUGUAAAUUUAUUUAAAAGAUAAUUUUAUCUUUAUCAUUA